This 440-nucleotide ribosomal RNA is filed under the name uncultured bacterium. Its description in RNAcentral is "partial 16S ribosomal RNA". It matches the Rfam family "Bacterial small subunit ribosomal RNA", at positions 339 to 795 of the family's 1533-position model. The record is from RNAcentral.
CUACGGGGUGCUCCAGUAGGGAAUCUUCCACAAUGGACGAAAGUCUGAUGGAGCAACGCCGCGUGCAGGAUGAAUGCCUUAGGGUUGUAAACUGCUUUUAUAGAUGAAGAAUAUGACGGUAGUCUAUGAAUAAGGAUCGGCUAACUCCGUGCCAGCAGCCGCGGUCAUACGGAGGAUCCAAGCGUUAUCCGGAAUUACUGGGCGUAAAGAGUUGCGUAGGCGGUUUGUUAAGCGAUCAAUGGAAUCAUAUGGCUCAACCAUGUGGCUAUUGCUCGAACUAACAAACUAGAGUGUGAGAGAGGUACCUGGAAUUCCUAGUGUAGGAGUGAAAUCCGUAGAUAUUAGGAGGAACACCAAUGGCGUAGGCAGGGUACUGGCUCAUUACUGACGCUGAGGCACGAAAGCGCGGGGAGCGAACGGGAUUAGAUACCCCUGUAGUC